AUGGAUGUGAAAGAGCUGCUGAAAGCUCUGCAGGGGCAGGAGAGCCUCGUGCUGAAUGUUCCAAGUGGAACAUAUGCAGGAAGCACAUGGAAUCUGUGUUGCUCCUCCUGGCUCUGCCUCCCAUGUGGAGCUCACAGAUUACACUCCCCAGCCUGCAGAGGAGGUUGUAUCAUUCUUGAUUUUACACCAGGAAGCACCAAGCUCUUCUCUGCAGAUCCCAACACUGCCUGAUCCAGCCCAGGUUAACUCAGCCUCACUGCAGCAGCCAGGAGUGAGCCUGGUCUGACAAUAUUCAUUAAACAGGCCAGUUUAAAA
This is a long non-coding RNA of Cyanistes caeruleus (blue tit), 315 nucleotides long. RefSeq lists it as uncharacterized. The record is from RefSeq and is a predicted model, not a curated record. NCBI's taxonomy places the organism in Eukaryota, Metazoa, Chordata, Aves, Passeriformes, Paridae.